GAUGAACGCUGGCGGCGUGCUUAACACAUGCAAGUCGAACGAACCUUCGGGUUAGUGGCGGACGGGUGAGUAACGCGUGGGAAUCUGCCCUCAGGAGGGGGAUAACGGCUGGAAACGGCCGCUAAUACCCCAUAUGCCGAGAGGUGAAAUGAAUUUCGCCUGAGGAUGAGCCCGCGUCUGAUUAGCUAGUUGGUGAGGUAAGAGCUCACCAAGGCAUCGAUCAGUAGCUGGUCUGAGAGGAUGAUCAGCCACACUGGGACUGAGACACGGCCCAGACUCCUACGGGAGGCAGCAGUGGGGAAUUUUCCGCAAUGGGCGAAAGCCUGACGGAGCAACGCCGCGUGAGGGAUGAAGGCCUCUGGGCUGUAAACCUCUUUUCUCAAGGAAGAAGAUCUGACGGUACUUGAGGAAUAAGCCACGGCUAAUUCCGUGCCAGCAGCCGCGGUAAUACGGGAGUGGCAAGCGUUAUCCGGAAUUAUUGAGCGUAAAGCGUCCGCAGGCGGCCCUUCAAGUCUGCUGUUAAAAAGUGAAGCUUAACUCCAUCAUGGCAGUGGAAACUGUUGGGCUUGAGUGUGGUAGGGGCAGAGGGAAUUCCCGGUGUAGCGGUGAAAUGCGUAGAUAUCGGGAAGAACACCAGUGGCGAAGGCGCUCUGCUGGGCCAUCACUGACGCUCAUGGACGAAAGCCAGGGGAGCGAAAGGGAUUAGAUACCCCUGUAGUCCUGGCCGUAAACGAUGAACACUAGGUGUCGGGGGGAAUCGACCCCCUCGGUGUCGUAGCCAACGCGUUAAGUGUUCCGCCUGGGGAGUACGCACGCAAGUGUGAAACUCAAAGGAAUUGGCGGGGGCCGCACAAGCGGUGGAAUUUGGUGGUUUAAUUCGAUGCAACGCGAAGAACCUUACCAGGGUUUGACAUCCUGCGAAUCUCUUGGAA
This 932-nucleotide ribosomal RNA is filed under the name uncultured bacterium. RNAcentral describes it as "bacterial SSU rRNA". It matches the Rfam family "Bacterial small subunit ribosomal RNA", at positions 28 to 1005 of the family's 1533-position model. The record is from RNAcentral.